UGCACCUGCUAUCAUUUCCUUUUAUCAUCUAGCUCCCAUUCCUGUAUUUCCCCAAACACCAAAAACACAUUGCUGCUGGACAUGUUUUUUAAAAAGCAUUUUUAAAGGUUUAGCAAUAGCAGAAGAUUAUUGCCAAAAGAAAGCAGAAAAACAAGUUAAAAACAAAUAGUAGGUGUCAAUGUUGCACAAAUUUGCUAACCUGCACUGACCUAGUGUAUACAUCCAACCAACUAGUUAACCAGUUGGGCCUCAGUUCAGCAACUGAUAGGCGCAGCUGUAGCCGCUGAUGAAGGGAGGAGUGAGUUGUGAUAGAAGCCAGAUUCUCCUUCCUGGAGGAGGCGCAAGAAAUGCCAUCAGCUCCUUCGGACACUGCCGGCACUGUUUACCUAACUCCCACAACUCAGCAGGGGUAUAAGCACAAUAAAAGGGUGAGCCCACAGUGGUGGAGGAGCCUUCUCCCUGUCAGCAUCAGACGGAACGGGAGUCUCCGGCCAGGAGGACAGGCUCAAGGUCGAGCUGACAGCUGUUUCCAACUCCUGCUUCAGGCUGUUUGUCUGAGCCUCCAAGUGCCCUGUUUGCACCUGAAGGUCCCCCACCCCCAGGUCUUGCUCCAAGCUGUGCACUUGGGGCCCCAGGCGUGGGCUUGUGCCGGAAGGUCCCUUAUCUGUGGGACUGGGCAUGUACUUCCCUCAGUGCAGUCAGAAACGCCCAUCUGACUCUGCCAUCGAAGGUG
Long non-coding RNA from Homo sapiens (human), 733 nucleotides. RefSeq lists it as uncharacterized. NCBI's taxonomy places the organism in Eukaryota, Metazoa, Chordata, Mammalia, Primates, Hominidae. The transcript is spliced from 3 exons. The record is from RefSeq and is a predicted model, not a curated record.